Molecule: long non-coding RNA, 491 nt
Organism: Oncorhynchus nerka (sockeye salmon)
Lineage: Eukaryota; Metazoa; Chordata; Actinopteri; Salmoniformes; Salmonidae
Exons: 2
Source: RefSeq, a predicted model, not a curated record
GCCAGCUCCAGGUCACUGAUGCCCUCGGGGAGCUGCUCCCACUGCAGGUCCUGACUCUGCUGCUCCUGCUGCAGCGACAACGCCAUCAGAAUUUGGCAGUACGUCCAACCGGCCUCACAACUGCAGACCACGUGUAACCACGCCUGCCCAGGACCUCCACGUCCGGCUUCUUCACCUCAGACCACGUGUACCACGCCAGCCCAGGACCUCCACAUCCGGCUUCUCACCUGCGGGAUCGUCUUAGACCAGCCACCUGGACAAUUGAUGAAACUGAGGAGUAUUUCUGUCUGUAAUAAAGCCCUUUUGUGGGGAAAAACUAAUUCUGAUUGGCUGGGCCUGGCUCCCAUGUGGGCCUGCCCUCCCAGGCCCACCCAUGGCUGCGCCACUGCUUAGUCAUGUGAAAUCCAUAGAUUGGGGCCGAAUGAACUUAUUUCAAUUGACUGAUUCCCUUAUAUGAACUGUACCUCAGUAAAAUGGUUGAAAUUGCUGCA